This 497-nucleotide ribosomal RNA is filed under the name uncultured bacterium. RNAcentral describes it as "partial 16S ribosomal RNA". It matches the Rfam family "Bacterial small subunit ribosomal RNA", at positions 28 to 507 of the family's 1533-position model. The record is from RNAcentral.
GAUGAACGCUGGCGGCGUGCCUAAUACAUGCAAGUCGAGCGAACCGACGUGAAGCUUGCUUCUCUGAUGUUAGCGGCGGACGGGUGAUUAACAAGUCAUCAACCUACCUUUUAGACUGGGAUAACUCCGGGAAACCGUAGCUAAUACCGCACAAUAUUUCGAACCGCGUGGUUCAAAAGUGAUAGACGGUCUUGCUGUCACUUAUAGAUAGAUCCGCGCUGCAUUAGCUAGUUGGUAAGGUAACGGCUUACCAAGGCGACGAUGCGUAGCCGACCUGAGAGGGUGAUCGGCCACACUGGAACUGAGACACGGUCCAGACUCCUACGGGAGGCAGCAGUGGGGAAUCUUCCGCAAUGGGCGAAAGCCUGACGGAGCAACACCGCGUGAGUGAUGAAGGUCUUCGGAUCGUAAAGCUCUGUUGUUAGGAAAGAACAUAUGUGUAAUUAACUGUGGACAUCUUGACGGUACCUAAAGAAUAAGCCACGGCUAACUACGUG